This 253-nucleotide ribosomal RNA is filed under the name uncultured bacterium. Its description in RNAcentral is "partial 16S ribosomal RNA". It matches the Rfam family "Bacterial small subunit ribosomal RNA", at positions 524 to 776 of the family's 1533-position model. The record is from RNAcentral.
UACGUAGGGUGCGAGCGUUGUCCGGAAUUAUUGGGCGUAAAGGGCUCGUAGGCGGUUUGUCGCGUCGGGAGUGAAAUCCAUUGGCUUAACUGGUGGCUUGCUUUCGAUACGGGCAGACUGGAGGUAUGCAGGGGAGAACGGAAUUCCUGGUGUAGCGGUGAAAUGCGCAGAUAUCAGGAGGAACACCAGUGGCGAAGGCGGCUCACUGGACCGGAACUGACGCUGAUGCGCGAAAGCGUGGGGAGCAAACGGG